CCUACGGGAGGCAGCAGUGAGGAAUAUUGGACAAUGGGCGCAAGCCUGAUCCAGCCAUGCCGCGUGCAGGAAGACGGUCCUAUGGAUUGUAAACUGCUUUUGUACAGGAAGAAACACUCCCUCGUGAGGGAGCUUGACGGUACUGUAAGAAUAAGGAUCGGCUGACUCCGUGCCAGCAGCCGCGGUAAUACGGAGGAUCCAAGCGCUAUCCGGAAUCAUUGGGUUUAAAGGGUCCGUAGGCGGUUUAAUAAGUCAGUGGUGAAAUCUGGUCGCUCAACGAUCAAACGGCCAUUGAUACUGUUAGACUUGAAUUAUUAGGAAGUAACUAGAAUAUGUAGUGUAGCGGUGAAAUGCUUAGAUAUUACAUGGAAUACCAAUUGCGAAGGCAGGUUACUACUAAUGGAUUGACGCUGAUGGACGAAAGCGUGGGGAGCGAACAGGAUUAGAUACCCUGGUAGUCCACGCCGUAAACGAUGGAUACUAGCUGUUCGGAGCAAUCUGAGUGGCUAAGCGAAAGUGAUAAGUAUCCACCGUGGGGAAGUACGUUCGCAAGAAUUGAAACUCAAAGGAUUGACGG
RNAcentral lists this ribosomal RNA (577 nucleotides) under uncultured bacterium. RNAcentral describes it as "bacterial SSU rRNA". It matches the Rfam family "Bacterial small subunit ribosomal RNA", at positions 338 to 916 of the family's 1533-position model. The record is from RNAcentral.